UACGUAGGGUCCGAGCGUUGUCCGGAAUUACUGGGCGUAAAGCGCGCGCAGGCGGCCCGCGAGGUGUCACGUGAAAGCCCCGGGCUCAACCCGGGAGGGUCGUGGCAAACCGGCGGGCUUGAGGCCGAUAGAGGUGGGUGGAACUCCUGGUGGAGUGGUGAAAUGCGUAGAGAUCAGGAAGAACACCCGUGGCGAAGGCGGCCCACUGGGCCGGUACUGACGCUGAGGCGCGAAGGCGUGGGGAGCGAACGGG
This 253-nucleotide ribosomal RNA is filed under the name uncultured bacterium. RNAcentral describes it as "partial 16S ribosomal RNA". It matches the Rfam family "Bacterial small subunit ribosomal RNA", at positions 524 to 776 of the family's 1533-position model. The record is from RNAcentral.